This is a long non-coding RNA of Nicotiana attenuata, 2854 nucleotides long. RefSeq lists it as uncharacterized. Lineage: Eukaryota; Viridiplantae; Streptophyta; Magnoliopsida; Solanales; Solanaceae. The record is from RefSeq and is a predicted model, not a curated record. The transcript has 3 exons.
AUUUAGUUUUCCUUCACUGAUAAACUGAGAAAAGCCAGAAUGUUAUUGAUUUUUUCUUGGGGUAAGACCGUACGCUUUCCUGUUAGGGAUGGAUGUCAAUGCUGCUUUCAGCUGGUGGCCUAUCAAAUCUGAGAGCCUUUGAAUCUCAGAGGAAAUGGCCCCUCUACCCUUCUCCACUUAAAUACCAAGCUUAGUUCGCAUGGUGCAGGGCUUGAACAUGUGACCUAAGUCACAAGUUCAAUAAAGCUGACAACUUUGACAACUUUGAUGAACUAUAUAUGAUCGCUUUUCUAUAUAACCAGAAACAAUCCAAAACAAUCAUGCCAGAGAUUUCAGUAACUACGCCAGCAUAAAUUGGCUGACCAUAUCAUUCUACAGAGCUAUUUAGAAGUACUAGGGCAAUCUCGGAAAAAUUAUUAGGGCAAUCAUAUAUAUAUAAAUGUACUAGAUGGGAUCGGCCCGGGCUUGCCCGGGCCCAACACUUUGGAUUAGAGCGUGUUUUAUUUUGAUAAAUAUUGUUUGAGCGUAAUGAAUACCAUGGUAAGUCUUGCUUAAAAAGUACUGCUCUGUGAUGAAGGCAAGAAUCACUUGUAAGAUCGGUUAACAUUUCCCAAGCAGGAGCACUUGCAAUACAUAAGAAGUUCAGUGUUUUAUCAUUGCAGAUAUAAAAAUAUGUCUUUUUUCAACUGACUUUACCAAACUACCUCAUAAAACAUUGUGCAUGUAUUUUACUGACCCAAAUAGUAUUUGAUACAGUCGCUAUAUUAAGAGCUUUUUAGAACUGAAAUUACCGAAGUUAACCAUAGUAAAAGGUAUUACAAGAUGAUUUAAUAACAAUUUAAAUUUUCUAAUGAAUAAUGAGAUGAAUGAGUUAAAAAUAAAAAAUCUGUCUCCCCACAAACAUAAAUAGAAAAGGGUGAGCUAUAUAUAAGAAAUUGCCAGAUAUGGAAAUAGAUUUGUCUGCUGCUAUUAUUCAUAUAUAAGAUAAGUACAAUGUGAGACAGUACAAUCGUUUGUGUGACAUGGCAUCCAAUUUGAAGGCAUUUAAGUAUAUAAAAGUUCUAAGAUUUAGGUUUUUCAACUUUAAAUUAGUUUCUCAAUUAACUUUACAAUAAUUUUUUCUAACCGAUUAAUCCUUAUAUUUUUAUGAGUUUAUUUGGUUCACAUAUUAUUACUAUAAUUUUUUCUAAUCUAUUAAUCCUUAUAAUUUUAUGAGUUUAAUUAGUAGUUUAACGUACUAAGCUUUAAAUCAAUUACCAAUUUAGUUAUUGAUUUAAUUCAUAUAUAGUUGAUUUUAACAUUACAUAAUUGGUGUAGUCAUUCAAGGAAGAGCUUAAGUAGACCCGCAUCAGAGGCGGAGCCAUAAUUUAAAAUUAGUGGCUUCGGAAUUUUAUUCCUUCUGAGUUAUUAAGUUCUAAAUUAAUAAUUUGUAUAUAUUCAAUGACUUAAAGACAAAUACAGAGUUUGGACCAAAGCAAGUGGGUUCGAUCAAACCCACAUCGGAAGCUCUAGCUCCGCCCCUGCGCAUGGUUAUGGUAGCCUAAACAUACUCAAAUGUACAUGUAAAAUCACCGAAAAGUAUCAAGCAUUUAAUACUCUUGGAGCAUUUAAAAGAAUCUAAAAAUAAAUUACAUCUAGUACUACUAAUCAGUAAUUACAAUCUUAGAAAUAAAAUUAUUUAAAAUAUGUUUGAAAAAAUAGUAUACUAAAAAUUAGCCAGUCAAACCCUCAGUGCUGAAAAACUUUUCUCUAGUUAUUAAUGAGCAAUGGUUGAAAAAAAAUUCUGAUUUUUUUUUCCAAAUCUUGCAAAAACAAAAAACAAAAAGAAAAAUCAACUUGAAUUAAAGCAAACUCCUGAAUAUUCACAAGUCUAGUAAUGUGUCUUAAGCUAGCUACUUGUAUACUAUUCCUAAGCAUCACUAUUAAUUGCACGCAGAAAAAAAAUAAAGAACGUCUCAUGGAUAAUUUUCCAAUAAUAAUUACAACUUAUAUAAACAGAUCCUCCAAGCAUAAUGUCUUUGACCGUUCAUAAUAGUAAUGUACACAAGUAACUAUACUGUUAAAGUUACUUCUGAAAAGGAGGUCGACAUAGUCAGAGAGCAGCUAAAAGGCUGCAAAUGUGUCAGCUACUGGGACCCGGUGGUUCAGCAAUUUUAUGAUUAUUUUGUCCGGAUAAGGAAACGUACAAUACACAAUGCAAUUUAGCACCACAGGAUUAAAGCACAGUUGCACAUGAAAUGUCAGAAUUACCCUCCGUCGGCAAGAAGGGAUGUCGACGGAGAGCUGCUUCUGCGCUCUUCUAUAUAAGUAGAAUAUAUCUGGACAAUUUCCCAGAGCCCACUUGUGGGAUUUCACUAGGCUUGUUGUUGUUGUUUGCUUAUCUAUCGCAUUAAGUCUAGAAAUGUUCAUUAAGCAAAUGACCACUUAAAAGCACUUUCAUAUAAGGAAUGUUAUGUAGGCUAUUAGAGAAAAAUUAAUCUGGAAGCGCUGCUAGGAGAAGGGGGUAAAGUAGCCUAUUGGCCAUGAGAGAAACAAGUUAUUGAAAAAACCUGCUGGGUGGGAUUGUGCGGAAGCAAUGACUACCAAGAUUUUGAAGCUGCUAUUUGUAUGAUACAAUAUAUUAAUGAAUUGGUCAUGCCAUCAAGAUACCCAGAAUUUUGAGAAAGACAAAAUUUCAACGAAAUUUUUGACACCUAAAAAUUAUUAACUUCCUUUUACUUAAAUUAUUCCAACUUAAGAUACUAUUUGAAAAGAAGAACAAACUGUGUUGUCCCCCUCCUUUUCCUAUAGGGGAAAUGCAAAGAGACAUAAGAGACCACUGAUAGAAGAGAGUCAUGCCAAACUAUAGCCGUGA